RNAcentral lists this unclassified non-coding RNA (347 nucleotides) under soil metagenome. RNAcentral's name for it is "partial contains 5.8S ribosomal RNA, internal transcribed spacer 2, and large subunit ribosomal RNA". The stretch from base 1 to 120 matches the Rfam family "5.8S ribosomal RNA", at positions 35 to 154 of the family's 154-position model. The record is from RNAcentral.
GAUGAAGAACGUAGCGAAAUGCGAUACGUAAUGUGAAUUGCAGAAUUCAGUGAAUCAUCGAGUCUUUGAACGCACAUUGCGCCCCCUGGUAUUCCGGGGGGCAUGCCUGUCCGAGCGUCAUUGCUGCCCUCAAGCACGGCUUGUGUGUUGGGCCCCGUCCUCCGAUCCCGGGGGACGGGCCCGAAAGGCAGCGGCGGCACCGCGUCCGGUCCUCGAGCGUAUGGGGCUUUGUCACCCGCUCUGUAGGCCCGGCCGGCGCUUGCCGAUCAACCCAAAUUUUUUAUCCAGGUUGACCUCGGAUCAGGUAGGGAUACCCGCUGAACUUAAGCAUAUCAAUAAGCGGAGGA